UAAGACGAACCGUGCGAACGUUGUUCGGAAUCACUGGGCUUAAAGGGCGCGUAGGCGGCUCGCCAAGUCAGGGGUGAAAUCUUUCGGCUUAACCGGAAAAGUGCCUCUGAUACUGGCGGGCUGGAGGGAGGUAGGGGCAUGCGGAACUUCCGGUGGAGCGGUGAAAUGCGUUGAUAUCGGAAGGAACGCCGGCGGCGAAAGCGGCGUGCUGGACCUCUUCUGACGCUGAGGCGCGAAAGCCAGGGGAGCAAACGGGAUUAGAUACCCCGGUAGUCCUGGCCCUAAACGAUGGGUACUAGGUAGUGGGCUUACAUGGGCUCACUGCCGAAGCAAAAGUGUUAAGUACCCCGCCUGGGGAGUAUGGUCGCAAGGCUG
This 375-nucleotide ribosomal RNA is filed under the name uncultured bacterium. RNAcentral's name for it is "bacterial SSU rRNA". It matches the Rfam family "Bacterial small subunit ribosomal RNA", at positions 521 to 896 of the family's 1533-position model. The record is from RNAcentral.